RNAcentral lists this ribosomal RNA (329 nucleotides) under uncultured eukaryote. RNAcentral describes it as "partial 18S ribosomal RNA". It matches the Rfam family "Eukaryotic small subunit ribosomal RNA", at positions 1470 to 1796 of the family's 1831-position model. The record is from RNAcentral.
CCCUUAGAUGUUCUGGGCCGCACGCGCGCUACACUGACGAUGGCAACGAGUUUUUCCUUCGCCGAAAGGUGUGGGUAAUCUUUUGAAACAUCGUCGUGCUGGGGAUAGAUCAUUGCAAUUUUUGAUCUUGAACGAGGAAUUCCGAGUAAGCGCGAGUCAUCAGCUCGCGUUGAUUACGUCCCUGCCCUUUGUACACACCGCCCGUCGCUACUACCGAUUGAAUGGUUUAGUGAGGACUCCUGAUUGGCGCCGCCGCCCCGGCAACGGAGCAGCGGACUGCCGAAAAGUUGUUCAAACUUGAUCAUUUAGAGGAAGUAAAAGUCGUAACA